GGGGCUGCGGCUCAAUGGUAGAGCACUCACCUAGCACAUGCGAGGCCCUGGGUUCGAUUCUCAGCACCACA
RNAcentral lists this transfer RNA (71 nucleotides) under Marmota monax (woodchuck). RNAcentral describes it as "tRNA.Ala". Lineage: Eukaryota; Metazoa; Chordata; Mammalia; Rodentia; Sciuridae. The record is from RNAcentral.